GUUAUAGGGUCAAGCGAACAAGUGCAUGUGGUGGAUGCCUUGGCGAUCACAGGCGAUGAAGGACGCGGUAGCCUGCGAAAAGCUACGGGGAGCUGGCAAACAAGCUUUGAUCCGUAGAUGUCCGAAUGGGGAAACCCGGCCCUUUUGGGUCAUCCUAGACUGAAUACAUAGGUCUAGUGAAGCGAACGCGGUGAACUGAAACAUCUAAGUAACCGCAGGAAAAGAAAUCAACCGAGAUUCCCAAAGUAGUGGCGAGCGAAAUGGGAUGAGCCUUGUACUCUUUAUUUGUAUUGUUAGCCGAACGCUCUGGAAAGUGCGGCCAUAGCAGGUGAUAGCCCUGUAGGCGAAAACAGUAUGAAAGAACUAGGUGUACGACAAGUAGGGCGGGACACGUGAAAUCCUGUCUGAAGAUGGGGGGACCAUCCUCCAAGGCUAAAUACUCGUGAUCGACCGAUAGUGAACCAGUACCGUGAGGGAAAGGCGAAAAGAACCCCGGGAGGGGAGUGAAAUAGAUCCUGAAACCGCAUGCAUACAAACAGUCGGAGCCUCGUAAGGGGUGACGGCGUACCUUUUGUAUAAUGGGUCAGCGACUUACGUUCAGUAGCAAGCUUAACCGUAUAGGGCAGGCGUAGCGAAAGCGAGUCCGAAUAGGGCGUUCAGUUGCUGGGCGUAGACCCGAAACCAGGUGAUCUAUCCAUGGCCAGGAUGAAGGUGCGGUAACACGUACUGGAGGUCCGAACCCACUAACGUUGAAAAGUUAGGGGAUGAGCUGUGGAUAGGGGUGAAAGGCUAAACAAACCUGGAAAUAGCUGGUUCUCUCCGAAAACUAUUUAGGUAGUGCCUCGUGUCUCACCUUCGGGGGUAGAGCACUGUCAUGGUUGGGGGGUCUAUUGCAGAUUACCCCGCCAUAGCAAACUCCGAAUACCGAAGAGUGCAAUCACGGGAGACAGACAUCGGGUGCUAACGUCCGGUGUCAAGAGGGAAACAACCCAGACCGCCAGCUAAGGUCCCCAAAUAUGGCUAAGUGGGAAACGAAGUGGGAAGGCUAAAACAGUCAGGAGGUUGGCUUAGAAGCAGCCACCCUUUAAAGAAAGCGUAAUAGCUCACUGAUCGAGUCGUCCUGCGCGGAAGAUGUAACGGGGCUAAGCCAUAUACCGAAGCUGCGGAUGCGUGC
Molecule: ribosomal RNA, 1174 nt
Filed under: Burkholderia ubonensis
Lineage: Bacteria; Pseudomonadati; Pseudomonadota; Betaproteobacteria; Burkholderiales; Burkholderiaceae
Description: bacterial LSU rRNA
Rfam family: Bacterial large subunit ribosomal RNA
Source: RNAcentral